RNAcentral lists this transfer RNA (74 nucleotides) under Cyanobacteria bacterium UBA9273. RNAcentral's name for it is "tRNA-Pro". It matches the Rfam family "tRNA". From Rfam's summary of the family: Transfer RNA (tRNA) molecules are approximately 80 nucleotides in length. Their secondary structure includes four short double-helical elements and three loops (D, anti-codon, and T loops). Further hydrogen bonds mediate the characteristic L-shaped molecular structure. tRNAs have two regions of fundamental functional importance: the anti-codon, which is responsible for specific mRNA codon recognition, and the 3' end, to which the tRNAs corresponding amino acid is attached (by aminoacyl-tRNA synthetases). tRNAs cope with the degeneracy of the genetic code in two manners: having more than one tRNA (with a specific anti-codon) for a particular amino acid; and 'wobble' base-pairing, i.e. permitting non-standard base-pairing at the 3rd anti-codon position. Lineage: Bacteria; Bacillati; Cyanobacteriota. The record is from RNAcentral.
CGGGGCGUAGCGCAGCUUGGUAGCGCACUUGCAUGGGGUGCAAGGGGUCGGAGGUUCAAAUCCUCUCGCCCCGA